Molecule: long non-coding RNA, 271 nt
Organism: Tupaia belangeri chinensis (Chinese tree shrew)
Lineage: Eukaryota; Metazoa; Chordata; Mammalia; Scandentia; Tupaiidae
Exons: 2
Source: RefSeq, a predicted model, not a curated record
CUGGAAGAACAGGACGCCGAGCAAUGGGAAGAGAGCGCAGCCACGGCCUCCCCCCGCUCCGCUCUGCUGCAUCCCGACAGCUCUCCAGAUGCUUGCACACCUUGUUUAUGGCUCCGGGUAACGACACAGCUGAAAGCUGAGAGUCUUCUGGACUAACAGAGUAAUACAAGAAUACAAAUAGAAGAUACUGUUCCUUUGAAAGACUUGCUAAACCAAGUAGUACUGUGAUGCCUAACAAGUCAAAGCAAUGUGAAGAUUUUGUAGAAACUCA